GGGAGUGUAUGGAGCCUGGUGGCUUCCUUCGUCUUCAAAACGAAUGCGACCUGACGACGUCGGGUUGGGUGGGUUCGAUUCCCAUACGCUCCCGCCA
RNAcentral lists this transfer RNA (97 nucleotides) under Gemmatimonadota bacterium. RNAcentral's name for it is "Gemmatimonadetes bacterium (groundwater metagenome) tRNA-Sec". It matches the Rfam family "Selenocysteine transfer RNA". The record is from RNAcentral. Lineage: Bacteria; Pseudomonadati; Gemmatimonadota.